UCAAGGGAAGGAGGGGACGAGCAAGGGUUUGUUCCAAACCCUAAAACCUUCAUAAAACUCAAAAUUGAAGCUAUAAAUCUGCUCCAAAUCAAGUUCUAAACACGAAUUAGUGAUCACCUCGUCAUAGGGAUCAAAAGGCAAAGAGUCCGGAUCAUCAAGCGGACAAGCCGGCGAGAAUACACGGGGAAAAGGCGUGCUCUAAAGUUUUCAGGUUUUCUUGUAGAAGGAUGAUGAUCAAGCAUAUGUAUCCGAACCGAACACUCUAACAAACGCUUCCGCACUUGAUCGUUUGUUUUAAAAA
This is a long non-coding RNA of Helianthus annuus (common sunflower), 301 nucleotides long. RefSeq lists it as uncharacterized. The transcript is spliced from 3 exons. The record is from RefSeq and is a predicted model, not a curated record. NCBI's taxonomy places the organism in Eukaryota, Viridiplantae, Streptophyta, Magnoliopsida, Asterales, Asteraceae.